ACUCCGGUGGUGUGAGAUGAGCCCGCGUCUGAUUAGCUAGUUGGCAGGGUAACGGCCUACCAAGGCGACGAUCAGUAGCCGACCUGAGAGGGUGACCGGCCACAUUGGGACUGAGACACGGCCCAAACUCCCACGGGAGGCAGCAGUGGGGAAUAUUGCACAAUGGGGGAAACCCUGAUGCAGCGACACCGCGUGAGCAAAGAAGUAUUUCGGUAUGUAAAGCUCUAUCAGCAGGGAAGAUAAUGACGGUACCUGACUAAGAAGCCCCGGCUAACUAC
RNAcentral lists this ribosomal RNA (278 nucleotides) under uncultured bacterium. Its description in RNAcentral is "partial 16S ribosomal RNA". It matches the Rfam family "Bacterial small subunit ribosomal RNA", at positions 209 to 504 of the family's 1533-position model. The record is from RNAcentral.